GAUGAACGCUAGCUACAGGCUUAACACAUGCAAGUCGAGGGGAAACGAUAGAGAAAGCUUGCUUUUUCUAGGCGUCGACCGGCGCACGGGUGAGUAACGCGUAUCCAACCUGCCCAUCACUUGGGGAUAACCUUGCGAAAGUAAGACUAAUACCCAAUGAUAUCUCUAGAAGACAUCUGAAAGGGAUUAAAGAUUUAUCGGUGAUGGGUGGGGAUGCGUCUGAUUAGCUUGUUGGCGGGGUAACGGCCCACCAAGGCGACGAUCAGUAGGGGUUCUGAGAGGAAGGUCCCCCACAUUGGAACUGAGACACGGUCCAAACUCCUACGGGAGGCAGCAGUGAGGAAUAUUGGUCAAUGGGCGGGAGCCUGAACCAGCCAAGUAGCGUGCAGGAUGACGGCCCUAUGGGUUGUAAACUGCUUUUAUAAGGGAAUAAAGUGAGUCUCGUGAGACUUUUUGCAUGUACCUUAUGAAUAAGGACCGGCUAAUUCCGUGCCAGCAGCCGCGGUAAUGUA
This 512-nucleotide ribosomal RNA is filed under the name uncultured bacterium. Its description in RNAcentral is "bacterial SSU rRNA". It matches the Rfam family "Bacterial small subunit ribosomal RNA", at positions 28 to 527 of the family's 1533-position model. The record is from RNAcentral.